RNAcentral lists this ribosomal RNA (623 nucleotides) under uncultured bacterium. Its description in RNAcentral is "bacterial SSU rRNA". It matches the Rfam family "Bacterial small subunit ribosomal RNA", at positions 130 to 735 of the family's 1533-position model. The record is from RNAcentral.
CCUCUUGUUCGGGAUAACUGCUGGAAACGGCAGCUAAUACCGGAUAAGCUCCCCCAAUUGUAUGGGGAGGAAAGGAGGCCUCUUCAUGAAAGCUUCCGCGAGGGGAUGAGUCCGCGUCCCAUUAGCUAGUUGGUGAGGUAACGGCCCACCAAGGCAACGAUGGGUAGCCGGUCUAAGAGGAUGACCGGCCACACUGGAACUGAAACACGGUCCAGACUCCUACGGGAGGCAGCAGUGGGGAAUAUUGCGCAAUGGACGAAAGUCUGACGCAGCGACGCCGCGUGAGGGAUGAAGGUUUUCGGAUCGUAAACCUCUGUCAGGAGGGAAGAAAGCGCAUGGCGCCAAUCAGCCAUGCGUUGACGGUACCUCCAAAGGAAGCGCCGGCUAACUCCGUGCCAGCAGCCGCGGUAAUACGGAGGGCGCGAGCGUUAAUCGGAAUUACUGGGCGUAAAGCGCGCGUAGGCUGUUGUGUAGGUUGGGGGUGAAAUCCCACGGCUCAACCGUGGAACAGCCCUUGAUACUGCGCGACUUGAAUCCGGGAGAGGGUGGCGGAAUUCCAGGUGUAGGAGUGAAAUCCGUAGAUAUCUGGAGGAACAUCAGUGGCGAAGGCGGCCACCUGGACC